This 963-nucleotide ribosomal RNA is filed under the name uncultured crenarchaeote. RNAcentral's name for it is "bacterial SSU rRNA". It matches the Rfam family "Archaeal small subunit ribosomal RNA", at positions 249 to 1217 of the family's 1478-position model. Lineage: Archaea; Thermoproteati; Thermoproteota. The record is from RNAcentral.
UCACCAAGCCGAUAAUCGAUAGGGGCCGUGAGAGCGGUUGCCCCGAGAUGGGUACUGAGACAGCGACCCAGGCCUUACGAGGCGCAGCAGGCGCGAGACCUCCGCAAUACACGCAAGUGUGACGGGGUUACCCAAAGUGUCCUUAUUGGACUGUGGCGGGUGAGUAACGUUCCCCGCUAGAAAGGAGAGGGCAAGGCUGGUGCCAGCCGCCGCGGUAAAACCAGCUCUUCAAGUGGUCGGGAUAAUUAUUGGGCUUAAAGUGUCCGUAGCCGGUUUAGUAAGUUCCUGGUAAAACCGGGCAGCUUAACUGUCCGUAUGCUAGGAAUACUGCUAUGCUAGAGGGCGGGAGAGGUCUGAGGUACUACAGGGGUAAGGGUGAAAUCUUAUAAUCCUUGUAGGACCACCAGUGGCGAAAGCGUCAGACUGGAACGCGCCUGACGGUGAGGGACGAAAGCCAGGGGAGCGAACCGGAUUAGAUACCCGGGUAGUCCUGGCCGUAAACGAUGCAUACUAGGCAAUGGUGCGGCCAUGAGCCGCAUCAGUACCGUAGGGAAACCGUUAAGUGUGCCGCCUGGGAAGUACGGUCGCAAGGCUAAAACUUAAAGGAAUUGGCGGGGGAGCACCACAAGGGGUGAAGCCUGCGGUUCAAUUGGACUCAACGCCGGGAAACUUACCAGGGGAGACAGCAGAAUGACAGUCAGGUUGACGACCUUACUCGACGAGCUGAGAGGAGGUGCAUGGCCGUCGCCAGUUCGUGCUGUGAGGUAUCCUGUUAAGUCAGGCAACGAACGAGAUCCGCGCCUUUAUUUGCCAUCAAGAAGUCACGACUUCGUUGGGAACACUAAAGGGACCGCCGUCGAUAAGACGGAGGAAGGAGCGGGCAAAGGCAGGUCAGUAUGCCCCGAAACCCCUGGGCUACACGCGGGCUGCAAUGGUGCGAACAAUGGGCUGUAACUCCGAAAG